AACACAUGCAAGUCGAACGAAGUAGCAACACUGAGUGGCAAACGGGUGAGUAUAAUGUGGGAAUCUGCCUUUUGGUUCGGAAUAACACGAGGAAACUUGUGCUAAUACCGAAUAAGCCCUUACGGGGAAAGUUUUAAUGCCGAAAGAUGAGCCCGCACUUGAUUAGCUAGUUGGUAAGGUAAAAGCUUACCAAGGCAAUGAUCAAUAGCUGUUCUUAGAGGAAGACCAGCCACAUUGGGACUGAGACACGGCCCAGACUCCUACGGGAGGCAGCAGUGGGGAAUCUUGCACAAUGGGGGAAACCCUGAUGCAGCGAUGCCGCGUGAGUGAAGAAGGCCUUUGGGUUGUAAAACUCUUUCGUCGGGGAAGAAAAUGACUGUACCCGAAUAAGAAGGUCCGGCUAACUUCGUGCCAGCAGCCGCGGUAAUACGAAGGGACCUAGCGUAGUUCGGAAUUACUGGGCUUAAAGAGCUCGUAGGUGGUUAAAAAAGUUGAUGGUGAAAUCCCAAGGCUCAACCUUGGAACUGCCAUCAAAACUUUUUAGCUAGAGUGUGAUAGAGGUAAGUGGAAUUUCUAGUGUAGAGGUGAAAUUCGUAGAUAUUAGAAAGAACACCAAAUGCGAAGGCAACUUACUGGGUCACUACUGACAC
Molecule: ribosomal RNA, 650 nt
Filed under: uncultured bacterium
Lineage: Bacteria
Description: bacterial SSU rRNA
Rfam family: Bacterial small subunit ribosomal RNA
Source: RNAcentral